This 446-nucleotide ribosomal RNA is filed under the name Daira perlata. Its description in RNAcentral is "partial 16S ribosomal RNA". It matches the Rfam family "Bacterial large subunit ribosomal RNA", at positions 1956 to 2603 of the family's 2925-position model. The record is from RNAcentral. Lineage: Eukaryota; Metazoa; Arthropoda; Malacostraca; Decapoda; Dairidae.
GUAGCAUAAUCAUUAGCUUUUUAAUUGAAAGCUUGUAUGAAUGGUCGGACAAAGGAGAAGCUGUCUUAUAUUAUACACAUAGAAAUUAACUUUUAAGUGAAAAGGCUUAAAUUAUUCUGAGGGACGAUAAGACCCUAUAAAGCUUUAUGUUGUGCUCUUACUUGGUUGAGUUUGUAGUAUAAAGAGUUAGUAAAGGCGCUAUAUUUUGUUGGGGCGACAUGGGUAUAAUUAAUAUUAACUGCUCGUGGGUAGAACAUUAAUUGAUGGAAAAGAGUAAAUGAUCCUUUUUAGAGAUUAAAGAUUAAGUUACUUUAGGGAUAACAGCGUUAUUUCUUUUUAGAGUUCAUAUCGAAAAAGAAGUUUGCGACCUCGAUGUUGAAUUAAAAUAUCUUUAUGGUGCAGCAGCUAUAAGAGAAGGUCUGUUCGACCUUUAAAUUUUUACAUGA